UACAGAGGGUGCGAGCGUUAAUCGGAAUUACUGGGCGUAAAGCGUGCGUAGACGGCUAUAUAAGUCGGGUGUGAAAGCCCCGGGCUCAACCUGGGAAUUGCAUUCGAGACUGAAUAGCUAGGGUGCGGUAGAGGGAAGCGGAAUUUCCGGUGUAGCGGUGAAAUGCGUAGAUAUCGGAAGGAACAUCAGUGGCGAAAGCGGCUUCCUGGACCAGCACCGACGUUCAGGCACGAAAGCGUGGGGAGCAAACAGG
RNAcentral lists this ribosomal RNA (253 nucleotides) under uncultured bacterium. RNAcentral's name for it is "partial 16S ribosomal RNA". It matches the Rfam family "Bacterial small subunit ribosomal RNA", at positions 524 to 776 of the family's 1533-position model. The record is from RNAcentral.